GGAAUUCCAACAUAAUUACAAUGGAAGUCCCAGAAGAAGACAAGAGAAAUACAGCACCAUCAAAAUGCAUACAUACAUACAUAUAUAUAUAUAUGUGUGUAUAUAUAUGUUCAUAUAUAUAAACAAAUAAUGGCAUAAAAUUUCUCAAAUCAGAUGAAAAACUCUAUUCUCCAUGUAAAAUAAGCUCAAUGAAUUUCAAGUGUGGUAAACUCAAAUAGAUCGACACCCAGAGACAUCGUAAUCUAACAUCAUAACAUAACUUUCAAAAGACAAAGAGAGAAUCUUGGAAGCAGUCAGAGAAAGGUGACUCAUCACAUACAAGGGAUUCUCCUUAAGAAUGUUGACUGACUUUCCAUUGGAAACCAUGGAGGCCAGGGGCUGGCCUGGUGGUGCAGCGGUUAAGUUCGCAUGUUGUACUUCAGGUGCCUAGGGUUAGCCGGUUCGGAUGCCGUGUGUGGACAUGGACCACUUGACAAGCCAUGCUGUGGUAGGCAUCCCACAUACAAAGUAGAAGAAUAUGGGCACGGAUGUUAGCUCAGGGCCAGUCUUCCUCAGCAAAAAGAGGAUUGGCAGCAGCUAGCUCAGGGCUAAUCUUCCUCAAAAAAAAAAAAAAGAAAGAAACCAUGGAGGCCAGGAGGCAGUGGGAUGGAAUAUCCAAAGUCAUGAAAGAAAAAAGGCUGCCAACCGGUAAUUCUAUAUGCAUCAGAACUGUUUUUAAAUAAGUAGAAGAAAUUAAGACAUUUCCAGAUAACAUCUGAGAAAAUUUGUCACCAGAAUACCUUUCCGACAAAAAAUACUAAUGAGUGAAAUUCAAGGGCACUAGGUGGUAACUGAGAUCCAUGCAGGAAAUAAAGAGCGCUGAUUCAGCUUGUCUAUGUAGGCAAACAUAAAAAUAGGUUCCUUAGGAAUGUGAUGACACCCGGACAGAGAGCCUAUGCUGAUAGCCAUCAUCAACGACAACUGGAAGAUCUGGAGUGGAGACUCCCAUCUGUAACACCAGAGGGUCAACAUUCCUAACCUCCUCCCCUAUGACCCACUGGCCUAUAUAACUGCUCAAGAUUCUGUGCCCCCCUUAAAAUGGUUCUUAGGACCCUGGUCCACCAACUUUCAAUCUGCUAGCUUAUCACUUAAUAAAAUGCCCUUUCUCUGCCACCAUCUUGCUUUUUGAUGAUAGGCUUUCGUCUCGCAGCAAGCAGGUCCUGCCCUUUGUGCCAUAACAUGUCUAUCUAUCAAUCUAUCUAUCUAUCUAUCUAUCUAUCAUGUAUUUAUCAGAGGGAAUAAUUUUUAUAUAAUAUCACAGAAUAUAACAUUUCUUCUUAUGUGAAUUAUUUUUGUGAAUGUUAAAAUUUUCUUUUUUCUCCACUCUGCUUUUUCAAAGAUCCAUUUCUUUUGAGUUUGGCUUUUCAUAUCUCAC
This 1414-nucleotide long non-coding RNA is filed under the name Equus caballus (horse). RNAcentral's name for it is "lncRNA (ENSECAG00000051003.1)". The record is from RNAcentral. Lineage: Eukaryota; Metazoa; Chordata; Mammalia; Perissodactyla; Equidae.